RNAcentral lists this ribosomal RNA (1024 nucleotides) under Salmonella enterica subsp. enterica serovar Poona. Its description in RNAcentral is "partial 23S ribosomal RNA". It matches the Rfam family "Bacterial large subunit ribosomal RNA", at positions 394 to 1233 of the family's 2925-position model. The record is from RNAcentral. Lineage: Bacteria; Pseudomonadati; Pseudomonadota; Gammaproteobacteria; Enterobacterales; Enterobacteriaceae.
GUGCUGUGAGCUCGAUGAGUAGGGCGGGACACGUGGUAUCCUGUCUGAAUAUGGGGGGACCAUCCUCCAAGGCUAAAUACUCCUGACUGACCGAUAGUGAACCAGUACCGUGAGGGAAAGGCGAAAAGAACCCCGGCGAGGGGAGUGAAAAAGAACCUGAAACCGUGUACGUACAAGCAGUGGGAGCCCCACCACUAAGCCAGUGGUGAACUCCACAUACGCAUCCUUUGCUGAGGAUACGGUUAACGGAGCGAAAGCGACGUUCAACCUCAAAAGAAGCAGAGGGGGCUUAGUGGUGGGGUGACUGCGUACCUUUUGUAUAAUGGGUCAGCGACUUAUAUUCUGUAGCAAGGUUAACCGUAUAGGGGAGCCGCAGGGAAACCGAGUCUUAACCGGGCGUUAAGUUGCAGGGUAUAGACCCGAAACCCGGUGAUCUAGCCAUGGGCAGGUUGAAGGUUGGGUAACACUAACUGGAGGACCGAACCGACUAAUGUUGAAAAAUUAGCGGAUGACCUGUGGCUGGGGGUGAAAGGCCAAUCAAACCGGGAGAUAGCUGGUUCUCCCCGAAAGCUAUUUAGGUAGCGCCUCGUGAACUCAUCUCCGGGGGUAGAGCACUGUUUCGGCUAGGGGGCCAUCCCGGCUUACCAACCCGAUGCAAACUGCGAAUACCGGAGAAUGUUAUCACGGGAGACACACGGCGGGUGCUAACGUCCGUCGUGAAGAGGGAAACAACCCAGACCGCCAGCUAAGGUCCCAAAGUCAUGGUUAAGUGGGAAACGAUGUGGGAAGGCCCAGACAGCCAGGAUGUUGGCUUAGAAGCAGCCAUCAUUUAAAGAAAGCGUAAUAGCUCACUGGUCGAGUCGGCCUGCGCGGAAGAUGUAACGGGGCUAAACCAUGCACCGAAGCUGCGGCAGCGAACGUAUCACCCAAGACAACUUUACGGAGUUAACGAUUGACGGAGCGAAGCGACGUCAAAGCGUUCAUUAAAGUCGAGUUGGCUUAGGGAUACGUUCGUUGGGUAGGG